AUUGAACGCUGGCGGCAUGCCUUACACAUGCAAGUCGAACGGUAACAGGUCUUCGGAUGCUGACGAGUGGCGGACGGGUGAGUAAUACAUCGGAACGUGCCUAGUAGUGGGGGAUAACUACUCGAAAGAGUGGCUAAUACCGCAUGAGAUCUACGGAUGAAAGCAGGGGAUCGCAAGACCUUGUGCUACUAGAGCGGCCGAUGGCAGAUUAGGUAGUUGGUGGGAUAAGCGCGUACCAAGCCGACGAUCUGUAGCUGGUCUGAGAGGACGAUCAGCCACACUGGGACUGAGACACGGCCCAGACUCCUACGGGAGGCAGCAGUGGGGAAUUUUGGACAAUGGGCGCAAGCCUGAUCCAGCAAUGCCGCGUGCAGGAUGAAGGCCUUCGGGUUGUAAACUGCUUUUGUACGGAACGAAAAGCCCCGGGUUAAUACCCUGGGGUCAUGACGGUACCGUAAGAAUAAGCACCGGCUAACUACGUGCCAGCAGCCGCCGUAA
RNAcentral lists this ribosomal RNA (498 nucleotides) under uncultured bacterium. RNAcentral describes it as "partial 16S ribosomal RNA". It matches the Rfam family "Bacterial small subunit ribosomal RNA", at positions 30 to 523 of the family's 1533-position model. The record is from RNAcentral.